GUUUAAUUCGGUUUGGUUCGGGUC
This 24-nucleotide non-coding RNA is filed under the name Arabidopsis thaliana (thale cress). The record is from RNAcentral. Lineage: Eukaryota; Viridiplantae; Streptophyta; Magnoliopsida; Brassicales; Brassicaceae.